Marmota flaviventris (yellow-bellied marmot) is the source of this 3165-nucleotide long non-coding RNA. RefSeq lists it as uncharacterized. The record is from RefSeq and is a predicted model, not a curated record. Lineage: Eukaryota; Metazoa; Chordata; Mammalia; Rodentia; Sciuridae.
ACAAAGCAAACAAACCAGAAAACAACAACAAAAAAACCCCAACAACACCCAUAUUCUCUUUUUUAUGUGGCAGUUGUACAAUGCUAAUUGCCAAGAUAUGAUCAGAAAGUUGCUGUUAAUUUUCUUAAAAAAAAAUUUAAAGACAGACAUUUGGAAUUGCAAGGUGGAAUUGAUUACCUGGCCCUUAAUUAUUUUGAAGACAAGAAUCCACUUAUACGAUGUACCCAAAGAUCAGUGUCUCUCAUUUUACUCAGAGUGAUGAGUCUGUGGAGAGACCACUUUGACUCUUGCUAUUUUAGUAUUUAAAAAGGAGUACCAGAAUACAACUCUUAAGACCAGUAUCUUUCUUACUACCAUUUUAAGCCAAUCUUUGGGCUUUAGCACCACGCACUUUUACGAAAACUACCUAAGCCUUCUAAUUCUUAAAUUUCUUCAUCUUGAGCACCAGCUCAGGAUUGCCAUAGAAGGAUUAAAUAAGAGGACAUGUGCUGAGGAGCUUUUGAAAAUUAAAGGCCACCUCAUUAGAUUAUUAUAUAAAAUGCACUGUUUAAUUCUGCUAGUAAUUUAAAGUAGUUUGAAAAAGCACCCUAGAGUGAGGGGCCCUGUUUCCCCAUCUUACAAGAAAAAUAAGCCAAGAUCUAAUCAUUUUUCUGAGCAUAAACUUCAACAAUGAGAUGGCUGCCUAGUAAAAACAAUAUCCCAGCCUCUAGUAUACAGAGUGGUGACUAAAUAUAUUAAUAUGAAACUUUUGAAGCAAAUAACUAGUCAUCACAACAGCAGUUCCUCCUAGUCACUGAUAAAGAAUACUAUUACUCUGAGAAGGAUGUCAAAAGAUCUGCCCGUGUGAGUGCAGUUUGCACUACGACCUCUUUGGACAGCUGUAAGAAGAGAUUCUGGCUGUUUACAAUACUGAAUGAAUUUGGAGCUGGUUCUGUACGUGACUCAAGAGGAAGAAUAACUCCUUUUAUAUGGCCACAUUGAUGACUGCUAGAGAACAUCGAAAGGACAUUCAGAGCAUGUGAGAUUUGAGGACUGCAAGCAGCUUAAAGAAGCUACACAUUCAGCAGACCUUCCCUUUUGAGAGUCUGGACAAGCACCAGAUGUUCCUCAGAAGAACAGGCUUGUUGCUUUGCAGUGUUAGUGACCUUUUCCCUUUGACGAUCCCCAGGUGGAGAUGGGGCAUGAGGAUCCUCCAGGGGAAAAGUUCACUGCCACUGGGCAACAACCCUGGGUCAGGAGAUUUUACUAAGAUUCUUUCCUGGGUCCAGAUAGGAGGGUGAAGACUCAAAGACAACCACCGCACAUCAAGAUGGGAGAACAUGGACAGCAACUACCACUGCAACAACACUGAUCUCAUAAGCAAAUCAUUCUGUUCCAUGUGGUCCUCAAAAUCUCCUUUGAAGCUUUACAGGGGAACUGUGCCAGGCAUUCACAGACUUCAAGAUGCCUUGGGAUAUCCAUGGGAUGUAACACACAAUCAGUGGUUUGAGAAGAUAAAAGAGAACUGUAUCUCUGUAUGCUAUGCAUGCGGAUUGGCAGAAGACUCAUAAGUACAACUGGAAACCUGACCAAAAAUGGUAUAGGGUUAUCUCACAUUGGGCAGCAUCUACAGAACCAGGACCCUACACUCUCUAGCUCUCGAUUGAUAAUAUCUGACAAACCAUUAUCCUUCCCAAAAGCAGUACAGAGAGCUGGAUCAUCAUCAGGAUUAAGAAAUGAGAACACAUCAAAGGGAGCCAAGUUUUCUACCUGAAGAUCAACAUGCCUGACACUAGCAUUUCAGAAUAGCAGAAGUAAGCAAGCUGUUGGGGUUGCAAUCCUUCCUUCUUAGUCUCCUCCUGUGAUGGUCUGCCUUUGUUUAUCUCUUUCGCUCCUAAGUGUGCAUUUCUUUGCUUGUCUAUUUCUUCCUUGCUCUUUCUUCUCUAACUCGAGUUGUGUCUGAAUCAGCUCCAUGUUUCUCUUGCUAAUUUCUUCUGUGUGUGCCUUGUCUCACUUUCUUUUUUUGUUCCUAAGUGUGGUCUAUGCACUGUCUUAAAUGGAUCUCUCUAGUUUUUGUUUGCUUGCUAUUGCUCUUCGCUCUCCUAGAUCUAUCUCUCUCUCUCUUUCUUUUCUUCCUUUUUUCCUCUUUGAGGUCAUAUGCUUUGUGCUUUUUUGCCCUUUUCUUAUUGUGCCUACCUUGCUUUUUGUCUUGGUGCACUAUGUAUUUGUCUUUUUGUCUUGGUGCACUUGGUAUUUGUUACUUUCUCUCCUUUUUGUAAGUUGGACAAUUCACCUUUUUCUGAUUCUGGUGUCCAUUCUGCUCCUUAUCUCACAUUUCUCUUUGUUAUAUUUCCUCUCUGCCUCUCUAGUGCUAUUUUCUCCCUUUUCGCUCCUGUGUAUACCUCAGUGUCUCUUUGUUUGUGAUUUUCUAUUUCAGCAUUACUCUGUUUGCUUGUGUGUCCUCUCUACUUUUUCCUUUUCUACUCAUCUUUUUCAUCUUUUGAGUAUUUCAGCCUCUUUGUGAGUCUAUGUUUCCCUCUCUCUGACUUCAUGUAAUCCUCUCUUGGCUAUUUCUUUGUGUAUACGGGCUAUGUGCAUAUGUGUGCAUGCUUCCUAUGUGUGGCAGAGGGGCUUCCUAACCCUUUCCCAAUAGGUUCAGAAUGUCAGCUAUCAAAAUCAGCAUUGCAGAGCUGUUCCUUGUGCCAAGCUGCCCUGUGAGAUGAUCCAAUACCAAAAUAUGGUCCUGGAAUCCAGAUUGAAGUUAAAACCCAAAACCUAAGAUGGACAAAAGGUAGAAGCCCCAAAGUGGAAGACAGGUGGUUUGAAACUUGAGACUCAGGACUAAGAUGAAAAGCCCAUGUCUCAAGAUAGAUGGAAGUCUCAAGUCUGACAUAAGACCAAGGUCUUAGGUUUGAGGAUUUAAGACCCACGGGUGGAAGACCCCACACCCAAAUAAGAGCAAGGAUUCAAGCCUCCUUACAUGGACGGAAGGCCUAAGAGAAACAGAUCCCUCAAGAAUAAAACCUGGAAACUGGAGGUUCCAGGUUUCUGAUCUGGAACUCAGGAAGGACAGAAACCUCAACACUGGGGAAAUACCAAGAUGAGGACCCUAAACCACAAAUCUUUUUCUAUUGCUAUUCUGCCCACUAUUGGGACAUUUUCAAUAAUCCCCUUCCAGAUAUCUUA